GUGCUCACUUCAGCAGUACAUAUUCUAAAAUUGGAAUGAUACAGAGAAGAUUAACAUGGCCCCGUACAAUGAUUACACCCAAGUUUAUGAAGUAUUCCAUAUUUUA
This is a small nuclear RNA of Jaculus jaculus (lesser Egyptian jerboa), 106 nucleotides long. NCBI's taxonomy places the organism in Eukaryota, Metazoa, Chordata, Mammalia, Rodentia, Dipodidae. The record is from Ensembl.